Molecule: transfer RNA, 74 nt
Filed under: Marmota monax (woodchuck)
Lineage: Eukaryota; Metazoa; Chordata; Mammalia; Rodentia; Sciuridae
Description: tRNA.Ala
Source: RNAcentral
GGGUGGAGUUAUGGCUCAGUGGUAGAGCACUCGCCCAGCAAGUGUGAGGCACUGGGUUUAAUUCUCAGCACCCA